Molecule: non-coding RNA, 29 nt
Filed under: Homo sapiens (human)
Lineage: Eukaryota; Metazoa; Chordata; Mammalia; Primates; Hominidae
Source: RNAcentral
UGGGAAGAUAUUCACCGAACUGCCUAAAU